AAUUUUGGACAAUGGGGGAAACCUUGAUCCAGCCAUCCCGCGUUAAGGAUGAAGGCUUUCGGUUGUUAAAGUCCUUUUGCCGGGGAGGAAAAGUAAUCCCCAAUACCGGGUUCCUGCUAACGUAUUCUCAGGAUUAGCCCCCGCCUACUUACGUCCAAGCACCCGCGGUAAUCCGUAGGUUCCAGCCGUUAAUCGGAAUUACUGGGCGUAAAGCGUGUGUAAGCGGUUCGGAAAGAAAGAUGUGAAAUCCCAGGGCUCAACCUUGGAACUGCAUUUUUAACUGCCGAGCUAGAGUAUGUCAGAGGGGGGUAGAAUUCCACGUGUAGCAGUGAAAUGCGUAGAUAUGUGGAGGAAUACCGAUGGCGAAGGCAGCCCCCUGGGAUAAUACUGACGCUCAGACACGAAAGCGUGGGGAGCAAACAGG
This 424-nucleotide ribosomal RNA is filed under the name uncultured bacterium. RNAcentral's name for it is "partial 16S ribosomal RNA". It matches the Rfam family "Bacterial small subunit ribosomal RNA", at positions 360 to 776 of the family's 1533-position model. The record is from RNAcentral.